Canis lupus familiaris (dog) is the source of this 562-nucleotide long non-coding RNA. RefSeq lists it as uncharacterized. The transcript has 3 exons. The record is from RefSeq and is a predicted model, not a curated record. NCBI's taxonomy places the organism in Eukaryota, Metazoa, Chordata, Mammalia, Carnivora, Canidae.
CACCGUGGGAGGGGCGCCCCGGAGGGCAGGGAGCUGCCUCGGGUGUGGGGGACCUCACGGCUUUCCUUCUGAUGGCUGCUCUCUGAGAACAAACAUCCUCUGUCCUUCGACCAUCCUCUCCUGUUGUCUCCGUCUCAGAUGAUGAAACCGUGGUCGCUGGUGCCCAGGCGGUGCGGACAGCGGGUUCCUGCACCUCCAUAGGCUCCUAGGCUCGGAUGAAGACCGAUUUUCCUUCCUUGACGCAGCCCUGUGGGGAGGCACGGCUGAGGCUGACCGAGCGGCCCGAGUCCAGCGUGCUCUGUCUGAGAAGCCACAGUGUUCCAAAGGACUCCUCCUACAGUGCUCUUCUCCUUUGCCUUUGAGGACCACGCUCAGGCCAGGAAUGCAGCCCUUGGCAGAGCUCCCAGAGCGCCCGCAAGGAGGAUGCGGGUGUUUUCCGCAACAUCAAACUCCAAGAGUCAGGGAUGUUCCUUAACAACCUGCUAUGGAUUGACCGCGAAUUUAUUUAAGCCCUCCCUGAACCUGUUUAUGUUUCAUUAAACUCUUUUAUUGAUCCUCUUAA